UACGGAGGGUGCAAGCGUUAUCCGGAUUCACUGGGUUUAAAGGGUGCGUAGGUGGGCAGUUAAGUCAGUGGUGAAAUCUCCGGGCUCAACCCGGAAACUGCCAUUGAUACUAUCUGUCUUGAAUAUCGUGGAGGUAAGCGGAAUAUGUCAUGUAGCGGUGAAAUGCUUAGAUAUGACAUAGAACACCAAUUGCGAAGGCAGCUUACUACCCGAAUAUUGACACUGAGGCACGAAAGCGUGGGGAGCGAACAGG
Molecule: ribosomal RNA, 253 nt
Filed under: uncultured bacterium
Lineage: Bacteria
Description: partial 16S ribosomal RNA
Rfam family: Bacterial small subunit ribosomal RNA
Source: RNAcentral